Non-coding RNA from Phasianus colchicus (ring-necked pheasant), 1087 nucleotides. NCBI's taxonomy places the organism in Eukaryota, Metazoa, Chordata, Aves, Galliformes, Phasianidae. The record is from RefSeq and is a predicted model, not a curated record.
UCACAACUAUAGAACCCAGUUUGAUUUGUUCCGUACAUCACAAUCCACGCCAGCUCAUUCCUGUGCUGCAGUAUGACGGGUUGUGACACUGUAACACCCUCCUGCCCUAUGCACCUGAAAGAAAGACUCAUCCCACCAGGAGUUAAGGAGACGCAGGUUCCCAGCUGCUCUGUACUUCAGAACUGGAUAUGCAACUCGGAUGAUUCUUUGCCUCACCGUCCUGUGAAAUGCACUUUAUUUAUAUGAAAGCAUAUAAAAUGUAGCGGCUCCAACAAGCUACAACAAAGGAUUUAUCUUUUUUUGACAAUUGCACGUGGCUUCCCUGCCAUCUUGAAGACUUCACAGCCAUCUACAUUUAUGCAAAACCAAAACCAGGAUGGCAGAAACCUCCUUCAUUUACACAGAGAGAUCCCAGCACCUCUCCAUCACGGUGCCGUGCUGUUGGAGGCACAGGUGUGGCUGCAGCUAACAGAAGGCCACACCACUGGAACCCAGCACCUGCACGGGAUAAUCAGCACCAACAUGGUCUCUUCUGUUUCCAGUUGCUACUUUAAGAAGAUGCCCUCAAAGCAGAGCACCAUUUCAAAGCGUUUGGGCUACCAGAGAACAGAACAGCAAAUGCAUGUGGUUGCCAAAGUGUUGCCUCUGGCUCUCACUUCAAGCAAGGGAAGAGAAACAGCAAUGAUGCUCUGCGGGGCACCUCUGCUUCACACAAUGUCCUCCAGCUCAAAACCAAGUGCCAACAAACCCACAAGAAGAGCCACGUCCGUUUUGGAACCUCUAAUUUUUAAAUAUAACAUUUUAUUGCUUAGAUGGUUUGAUACAGAACAACUUUUAUUUUGAAUUUGGAAGUACUGUACAACUGAAUAAAAAGAGGAAUAAAAGUACCAAAACAAAUGUGUGAUUCUCUGUUCAUGUGGCAUAAACCAGUCUUGUACACAAUUCGUAGCAGCAGUUUAAGUUCCCUUUAGAAAAAUAUGAAUUCUACAUAUUUAUUACUGUUUCCUGCAUGGGAUGAAAUCACUAGGAUUAACCUUCCUUUGUGGGGAGAGAAGAGAGAAAGGAGACACACAGAGGAGAGAGAAAA